AGAGGAUCAACAGAGACAAUGACUUUAGAAAGUUGCGGUGAAUCGGCGGAGGCGGCGGAGGCUUGCCAUGAUUUGGAAACAACUAAAGGACACUUGAGUAACCACACUGCAUCCUUCGACUUCUCUGUAUCCACUGUUAUACUACUGUUGCUGUUAUCUUCCUCCAUCUCCGUCGGCUGUUAUGAUCGAUUUUCCGAUGAUUCAGCUCCUCCUGUUUCGACGGUGGCGAUGGCUGAAAUUGGAAAAGCGGAGAACUCAAGUGGACCGAGAUUGAAUCGGGUGUGGGUACGGAUUGAAGACUUGAGUCCACACGGGAAUUGUAAUUUGUGAGUUGAUAUACGAGAGUUUUUGGCCAAUAUUUUCCUUAUGUUCGAGGAUAGUUAUAAUUCUGAGCAUAUUUAUGUCUUUAAGUAUGUUAAAUUGGAGAUCUUUAGUCUCCUUAAUAGAAUCUGUCCAAAAUUAAUUACAGGAUUGGUUUGGAUACCCGCC
RNAcentral lists this long non-coding RNA (489 nucleotides) under Nicotiana benthamiana. RNAcentral describes it as "long non-coding RNA (NBEN_LNC002545)". Lineage: Eukaryota; Viridiplantae; Streptophyta; Magnoliopsida; Solanales; Solanaceae. The record is from RNAcentral.